UACGUAGGGGGCAAGCGUUGUCCGGAUUUAUUGGGCGUAAAGAGCGUGUAGGCGGCCUGGAAGGUCAGCUGUGAAAACUCGAGGCUCAACCUCGAGACGUCGGUUGAAACCACCUGGCUAGAGUCCGGAAGAGGAGAGCGGAAUUCCCGGUGUAGCGGUGAAAUGCGCAGAUAUCGGGAAGAACACCCGUGGCGAAGGCGGCUCUCUGGGACGGUACUGACGCUGAGACGCGAAAAGCGUGGGGGAGCGAACAGG
RNAcentral lists this ribosomal RNA (255 nucleotides) under uncultured bacterium. RNAcentral's name for it is "partial 16S ribosomal RNA". It matches the Rfam family "Bacterial small subunit ribosomal RNA", at positions 524 to 776 of the family's 1533-position model. The record is from RNAcentral.